Molecule: ribosomal RNA, 253 nt
Filed under: uncultured bacterium
Lineage: Bacteria
Description: partial 16S ribosomal RNA
Rfam family: Bacterial small subunit ribosomal RNA
Source: RNAcentral
UACAGAGGUCUCAAGCGUUGUUCGGAAUUAUUGGGCGUAAAGGGCGCGUAGGCGGCCCGGUAAGUCAAAGGUGAAAUCCCUCGGCUCAACUGAGGAAUUGCCUUUGAAACUGCCAGGCUUGAGGCCGGGAGGGGGUAGCGGAAUUCCCAGUGUAGCGGUGAAAUGCGUAGAUACUGGGAGGAACACCAGUGGCGAAGGCGGCUACCUGGACCGGUUCUGACGCUGAUGCGCGAAAGCGUGGGGAGCAAACAGG